RNAcentral lists this transfer-messenger RNA (395 nucleotides) under uncultured Alloprevotella sp. It matches the Rfam family "transfer-messenger RNA". Rfam says of the family: Bacterial tmRNA, also known as 10Sa RNA or SsrA, is named for its dual tRNA and mRNA-like properties. Its role is to liberate the mRNA from a stalled ribosome. Lineage: Bacteria; Pseudomonadati; Bacteroidota; Bacteroidia; Bacteroidales; Prevotellaceae. The record is from RNAcentral.
GACUGGAUUUGACGGCAGGCAGAGGUGGUAAGCAAGCAUGCAGUGCGCCUGAGGGUGGGCACUCUAAUCUCGGCUCUCGAAAAUUUAAUUGGCGAAAACAAACUCGCUCUCGCUGCUUGAUCGAAGUUUAGUACAUCAACUUAAUCCCCGCCGCAGAUGUGUGGGGACGAGACAUCACCCAAGCGCUGUGGCUCCGAAGCGUCUUGAUCAGGUGGUGCCGGAAACAUCGGAGAUACCUUUGGACGGCCUCGCGUCCGGAGGGACAUUCUUAGAGGAUAAGGCCCUCCGCGGUGGCUCUGGUCUGCGCCUGGCCCGAAAAACUUAGGCAGAGAUAAGCAUGUAGAAAACUUAGUGCGUCCCUGUUCGGACGAGGGUUCGAUACCCUCCUGGUCCAC